This 310-nucleotide long non-coding RNA is filed under the name Salvia miltiorrhiza (redroot sage). RNAcentral describes it as "long non-coding RNA (SMIL_LNC004413)". The record is from RNAcentral. Lineage: Eukaryota; Viridiplantae; Streptophyta; Magnoliopsida; Lamiales; Lamiaceae.
CAGUUUAGGAUUUAGGGCGGCUAGGGGAGCAGCGGCGACGGAGGCGAGUAGCUGUGGCGGAGCCGAGCAGAGGCAGCGGCUGCGUGCUGGCCAAGUCUCCUUUCCUCUGUGCUCGCCAGAUCCCCUUUCCUCUCUGUGCUCGCCCUUUCCUCUAUGUGCAGAUCGCCAAAGCGGCGAGGCGACACCAAUCAGCGGCGGAGGCGAGCAGCGGCGAUGGCGGCGGCUGCGUGCAGUCGCCAGAUCCCCUUUCCUCUCUCCGGAAAAUUGAAAGAACUUGCUGCACCGCCGAUGGAUUGCAGCAGCUUUCGAU